RNAcentral lists this transfer RNA (375 nucleotides) under Microcystis sp. AICB 702. Its description in RNAcentral is "partial contains 16S ribosomal RNA, 16S-23S ribosomal RNA intergenic spacer, and 23S ribosomal RNA". The stretch from base 136 to 209 matches the Rfam family "tRNA". The record is from RNAcentral. Lineage: Bacteria; Bacillati; Cyanobacteriota; Cyanophyceae; Chroococcales; Microcystaceae.
AAAGGGAGACCUAAUUCAGGUAGGAGACGAAAAAAAAGUAGUCCCUACCAGGAAUCAAUCCCAAAAGGUCGGAGCGAGGCGAAAUUGGCUUUCAAACUAGGUUCUGGGUUCAAACAAGACCUGAAUCAGGAACAAGGGCUAUUAGCUCAGGUGGUUAGAGCGCACCCCUGAUAAGGGUGAGGUCCCUGGUUCGAGUCCAGGAUGGCCCACCUGCACAGGUGGCAAAAACAAGAGAAGCGAGGAAUCAGCACCUUAUCUUACUUAUAUAGUAAGAGAGAAUGCUGGCUCUGAGUAAAGAGUCCAGAGGAACCUUGAAAACUGCAUAGAGCUAGGUGAAAAAGCCAAAAAAGAAGACCGCAAGGUCAAGCUAAUAAG